Long non-coding RNA from Cercocebus atys (sooty mangabey), 3621 nucleotides. RefSeq lists it as uncharacterized. The transcript is spliced from 2 exons. Lineage: Eukaryota; Metazoa; Chordata; Mammalia; Primates; Cercopithecidae. The record is from RefSeq and is a predicted model, not a curated record.
ACCAGGUGUCUCAAAUGCACAGCACAGGAAGCAGCUGGCUGCCCCGCCCUAAUCUUUUAUUAUGCAGAUAGGCUCGCUACCCGGCUGGCGCCAUGUUGCCCGGUUCUUCGCUGUACAAGUGGUGAGGAAGAAACGGAAGACGGAGCCUCCAUGUUGAACUUGCCUGGCCCUCAGCCCCUGUGCAGGUCCCUCCUGCUCUGUUCACCGCUAAACAUCAGUGUUCCUCAGUCUUUGUCAAGACUCUCUUCACUUAAAAAAAACAAAAUUGGCACUCUUACCCAUGCUCAUUAUUUUAACUCCCAAAUCCAGAUUCCCAGGCCUCUGAAACUACAUAUUAUCAUUGCUUUCUGAAAUUGUUCAUCUGGAGGUUCCAAAGUAAGACUUUAAACUCAAUCAUGUCCAAACUAUGCUUCAACUCGCUCUCCCCACUGACAAAUAAACGCUUUCUCCUGAACUGCGUAUCUCAGCAAGUAACAUUCAUCCAGUUUUCCAAGUCAGAACUGCAAAAGUCAUACUAACAUUCUUCCUCUCCCUCAUCCCCUCCCUAUCAAUUACCCUUUAGAUAUCCCUAUUAUUGGUUCCCUCCUCACCAGAUCCAAUGCCUGAGUGUGUAUUUAGAUACUCACAAUGUCUUACCUGGACCUGCUUAAAUGCUACCUCUUAGAAAAAGUCUUUCAGAAUAGUCCUAUUACGCUUCAUAUACAUUCACAUUAUAGAAAUUAAAACACCAUAACUCUAGGCCUGCUUCUCACUAAACUUUGAGAUAAUUAAGUGAAGGAGCUGUGAAACAGAUAUAUAGUCUAUCUCAUAUACAUAGAUAUGUAUUUACAUAUCUCCGAAGAGAGUUGCAAAUUACUUGAUACAUAUGUGGUGAAUGGUGGUCAUAGGAAAAAUAAAUGGAAAGGAAAGCUUAUGAUUUUCUCAGUGGUUGCUACAAUUGUGGAUAAUUCAUACUUUUCAAAAUUAAGUGGAGAGGUCAAGUGGGUCCGUGGAGUGUUACUAUUAAUCCUUCUGAAAGAAUUAGUUUAGAUGGAACUAUUGAGUGGCCUUGUGUCAAUGUCACAUAGAAAUAGAGCUGGACCCUUUAAGAUAGCGCUCUGCCAUCCAGGAAAAUUCUGUUCAUAAGGUCAUAAUAAAGCCUUCUGCUACUAUAGCCACAUCACUUGAACAGUCAUGUCUAUUCAUAAGCAAAGUUGUAUGCUUAGAAAGACUUAGGAUCGUGGAAUUUGAGUUUUGAAUAUUAUAAUUUCAAAUUACGUACCACUUACUAACAAAACUAUCAUAAAGAAGAAAAUUCAAUUCUACGAAGAAGGUAUUUUUAAUCGCCCCAUUUUCAGUGUGGUGAGUGAAGCACAGUAAAAUCAAGCAAUUUAUGCUAACUCUUAUCACAUUACUGACACUAAUUCAGAAGUAUUGCUUCCUAAUUCUAGAGUCUCCUCUUUCUUAUUGUGGUGACGUUUCCAGCUAACACAGGAGAGUCACAUAAAAUCCUUAAGUACAACUUCUGAUCUGGCACUUACAUCCCAUAUUUUAAAAAUUUCCAGUGUUAAUUAUUUUUAAUCCCUGCUCCAACUUUAAGUUUAUAGGUGUUCCUCGACUUAUGACAGGUUACAUCCUUGUAAACCCAUCCUAAGUUGAAAAUAUCCUAAUUUGAAAAUGCAUUUACUACACUUGACCUAUGGAACAUCAUAGCUUAGCCCAGCCUGACAUAAAUGUGCUUAGAUACUUGCAUUAGUCUACAGCUGGGCAAAGUCACAUAGCACAAAGUAUAUUUUAUAAUAGGGUGUUGAAUAGUCUGUGUAAUUUAUUGAAUACUGUACUGAAAGUGAAAGUAGAAUGGUUGUAUGGGUACUCAAAGUGCAGUUUCUACAGAAUGUGUGUCGCUUUCACAUUCUUGAUUAUAAAGCCAAGAAAUCAAAAGUCGAACCUGAGUGAAUUGGGGACCAUCUGUAGUCCCAACUGGAUCUCUUGCUAAGAGAGACAAAAUGACCUAGGAGUUCACAGCUAAGCAAGCCAGAUUCCCUUUGCUUCUUCUCUGACUUCGCAGCCUACACUCUAUUUUUUUUUCCCCCAAGAUUAAGCUUCUGUCUUGCCUUGUACUUCCAGUGAUGUCCUCUCUGUCUGGACUACAUUUGCCUUGGCUCCUUUACAAAGUAUCUCACUUCAAUUCAUUGUAAAAUCCUGACUGGUCCUUGGAUUUUAUCCCUUACUCCCAGUUGCCCCAUUUCAACACCUCUCUUUAUGGUUGAGUCCCAUUACCUGCUGGUAAAUGACUUGAAGUGUCUACCUAUAUGGGCCAUCUCACUCAUGCACAGGUGGAUUUGGCUGACUGGGGACGUCAGGCAGGAAAUCCCUUCUUCUUUCACCUCUGUGCAUUCUCUUAAAACCUGGCUGAAGAUGCUAAUCUUCUUAGGUGGGUUAGUAAGUAUGACAGCAGGACUGUCCACAAAAGUCUUCCUUGGAAAAAGUCUUGCUCCCUUUACGUGGUCCUGAGAAGGAAGGCAGUGUCAGGAUUUUGAGAGGACACAAACAGCUGGAGAGGAUGCCAGUCCUAACCUGGUGCUGUUGCAGCUGGAAAGAGCAGGAGUUGAAGAAUGGUGGGUUAUCAGCUAGGCAUCAGAGUCAAAGAAACCGAUUUAGGUGCGUUUUGCCAUUUACUAUGUGUUAACCUUGGGUACAUAACUUAUCUUCUUGAGGUCUGUUUCCAUGUCUUCAAAAUACAAACUACUUCUUCCCUGCCUGUUCUACAUGAUUUUUACAAAUGAUAUACAUUAGACAACAGGAAAAUUAGGAAAUCUCACGAAGUAUACUCAUUGGUAUCAUCUCAAAUAAUCAAAGCUUUAUGAUGAAGUUUUCCAAUCACAAUUAUGCCUAUGUAUUAAAAACAAUCUUACCUGAUUAGCAAUAAUAUGGGACAUACAUUUCUGGUUAUUAGGACUGAAUUCUGUUUUAUAUUUCUAUUACUUAGUCUUCUUCUAGAAGAUUUGAAAUCUAUAUUUCAGUUAGUAAAAUAUUUUAAAAUUACAUUUAAAUUAGUAAUUAGAUUUGUAAUAAAACAUUACAAAUCUUACUGCCGAAAUUUGAAUUUUACCAAUUAAAACUGGUAAAUGAACCAAUAUUUCUGAAACAGAUUGAAUCAAGAUAGCAGCCAGCAAGUUUUCAUUUGUAUCGGAAAGGCAAAUCUGAGAAUCAUUAGCAGUAUAAAUCACUGAGACAAAGAUUUGGGGGAAAUUCUCUUUUAAUUAGUUUUGGCUCCUGUCAAGAUGGUGAGCUUGGAUAGGCUGCUGGCUUCUUCCAAAAACAAUCCUAGAGGAACUAGGAGAUAGGCAAGGGUGGUGAAGUAGGGAGAAAGGAAGGGAGAGAGGGUGAGAGACAGUGAGAGAGAGCGGGGGAGAGGAAGACGGACAUAUUGAUUCAGACAGACAGACAUGUGAAUUCUAGGAAAAAACAAAACAAUACCAAAAGUGAGAUGUUCUGGGGAGACUGAGGCUGUCUUAACCUUGGAGUUAUGGACUAGAAGCACAGAAGGCAGCAAGGUGCAGAAGGCAGUGAGAAGGCUUGGAGAGAAACUGCCAAUGGCUAUGCUGAAGUGUGUAAUUACUGGUUUAAAAAAAAAAAAAA